GCCAGUGGUGAACUCCACAUCCGCAUCCUUUGCUGAGGAUACGGUUAACGGAGCGAAAGCGACGUUCAACCGCAAAACAAGCAGAGGGGGCUUAGUGGUGGGGUGACUGCGUACCUUUUGUAUAAUGGGUCAGCGACUUAUAUUCUGUAGCAAGGUUAACCGAAUAGGGGAGCCGGAGGGAAACCGAGUCUUAAUUGGGCGUUAAGUUGCAGGGUAUAGACCCGAAACCCGGUGAUCUAGCCAUGGGCAGGUUGAAGGUUGGGUAACACUAACUGGAGGACCGAACCGACUAAUGUUGAAAAAUUAGCGGAUGACCUGUGGCUGGGGGUGAAAGGCCAAUCAAACCGGGAGAUAGCUGGUUCUCCCCGAAAGCUAUUUAGGUAGCGCCUCGUGAAUUCAUCUCCGGGGGUAGAGCACUGUUUCGGCUAGGGGGCCAUCCCGGCUUACCAACCCGAUGCAAACUGCGAAUACCGGAGAAUGUUAUCACGGGAGACACACGGCGGGUGCUAACGUCCGUCGUGAAGAGGGAAACAACCCAGACCGCCAGCUAAGGUCCCAAAGUCAUGGUUAAGUGGGAAACGAUGUGGGAAGGCCCAGACAGCCAGGAUGUUGGCUUAGAAGCAGCCAUCAUUUAAAGAAAGCGUAAUAGCUCACUGGUCGAGUCGGCCUGCGCGGAAGAUGUAACGGGGCUAAACCAUGCACCGAAGCUGCGGCAGCGAACGUAUCACCCAAGACAACUUUACGGAGUUGACGAUUGACGGAGCGAAGCGACGUCAAAGCGUUCAUUAAAGUCGAGUUGGCUUAGGGAUACGUUCGUUGGGUAGGGGAGCGUUCUGUAAGCCUGUGAAGGUGUGUCGUGAGGCAUGCUGGAGGUAUCAGAAGUGCGAAUGCUGACAUAAGUAACGAUAAAGCGGGUGAAAAGCCCGCUCGCCGGAAGACCAAGGGUUCCUGUCCAACGUUAAUCGGGGCAGGGUGAGUCGACCCCUAAGGCGAGGCCGAAAGGCGUAGUCGAUGGGAAACGGGUUAAUAUUCCCGUACUUGGUGUUACUGCGAAGGGGGGACGGAGAAGGCUAUGUUGGCCGGGCGACGGUUGUCCCGGUUUAAGCGUGUAGGUGUGUGUUCCAGGUAAAUCCGGUUCACUUUAACACUGAGGCGUGACGACGAGGCACUACGGUGCUGAAGCAACAAAUGCCCUGCUUCCAGGAAAAGCCUCUAAGCAUCAGGUAACACGAAAUCGUACCCCAAACCGACACAGGUGGUCAGGUAGAGAAUACCAAGGCGCUUGAGAGAACUCGGGUGAAGGAACUAGGCAAAAUGGUGCCGUAACUUCGGGAGAAGGCACGCUGACACGUAGGUGAAGUGAUUUACUCAUGGAGCUGAAGUCAGUCGAAGAUACCAGCUGGCUGCAACUGUUUAUUAAAAACACAGCACUGUGCAAACACGAAAGUGGACGUAUACGGUGUGACGCCUGCCCGGUGCCGGAAGGUUAAUUGAUGGGGUCAGCGUAAGCGAAGCUCCUGAUCGAAGCCCCGGUAAACGGCGGCCGUAACUAUAACGGUCCUAAGGUAGCGAAAUUCCUUGUCGGGUAAGUUCCGACCUGCACGAAUGGCGUAAUGAUGGCCAGGCUGUCUCCACCCGAGACUCAGUGAAAUUGAACUCGCUGUGAAGAUGCAGUGUACCCGCGGCAAGACGGAAAGACCCCGUGAACCUUUACUAUAGCUUGACACUGAACAUUGAGCCUUGAUGUGUAGGAUAGGUGGGAGGCUUUGAAGUGUGGACGCCAGUCUGCAUGGAGCCGACCUUGAAAUACCACCCUUUAAUGUUUGAUGUUCUAACGUGGACCCGUAAUCCGGGUUGCGGACAGUGUCUGGUGGGUAGUUUGACUGGGGCGGUCUCCUCCUAAAGAGUAACGGAGGAGCACGAAGGUUGGCUAAUCCUGGUCGGACAUCAGGAGGUUAGUGCAAUGGCAUAAGCCAGCUUGACUGCGAGCGUGACGGCGCGAGCAGGUGCGAAAGCAGGUCAUAGUGAUCCGGUGGUUCUGAAUGGAAGGGCCAUCGCUCAACGGAUAAAAGGUACUCCGGGGAUAACAGGCUGAUACCGCCCAAGAGUUCAUAUCGACGGCGGUGUUUGGCACCUCGAUGUCGGCUCAUCACAUCCUGGGGCUGAAGUAGGUCCCAAGGGUAUGGCUGUUCGCCAUUUAAAGUGGUACGCGAGCUGGGUUUAGAACGUCGUGAGACAGUUCGGUCCCUAUCUGCCGUGGGCGCUGGAGAACUGAGGGGGGCUGCUCCUAGUACGAGAGGACCGGAGUGGACGCAUCACUGGUGUUCGGGUUGUCAUGCCAAUGGCACUGCCCGGUAGCUAAAUGCGGAAGAGAUAAGUGCUGAAAGCAUCUAAGCACGAAACUUGCCCCGA
Molecule: ribosomal RNA, 2412 nt
Filed under: Salmonella enterica
Lineage: Bacteria; Pseudomonadati; Pseudomonadota; Gammaproteobacteria; Enterobacterales; Enterobacteriaceae
Description: bacterial LSU rRNA
Rfam family: Bacterial large subunit ribosomal RNA
Source: RNAcentral